UAAAUAUGGAGAGAACUGUUAAACGACGAAACAAAGCCCUGCAGACUACGGACGUAGAAAAUUCAACAGCUAAUCAAGAAGAUGAGAAAAACGUACAAGAGAAGCCGAGAAACACAUUGAAGUACUACUUCAAUAGAUUUAGCUUGAUCAACAGGAUGCUGAAAUGACGAGCACGAUGAAUAUGGACGAUGGAUAACUUACACUACAAAUACAUUAUGUAUACAUAUAUUUUGUAGAAUAAAUUAUUUUUAUUCAAGUAAUUUGAAAUACAUGAAAUACGCGAGCGUCUACUAAUAACGAGACUGUUCAAUCGCGCGAUUCUAUUAUGUACUUUAUAAACAUCGCUACUAUUCAAUGUAAAAUCAAUAAUAAAUUCCUAAGAUAUUGAAAACGUUGAUUAAA
Molecule: long non-coding RNA, 402 nt
Organism: Bombus terrestris (buff-tailed bumblebee)
Lineage: Eukaryota; Metazoa; Arthropoda; Insecta; Hymenoptera; Apidae
Exons: 3
Source: RefSeq, a predicted model, not a curated record